GUGCUCACUUUGGCAUCACAUAUACUAAAAUGGAAAAAAUGCAGAGAAUAUCAACAUGGUCCCUAUGUAAUUAUGACAUGGAAAUUUGUGAAGUGUUCCAUGUACAU
This 107-nucleotide small nuclear RNA is filed under the name Sciurus vulgaris (Eurasian red squirrel). The record is from RNAcentral. Lineage: Eukaryota; Metazoa; Chordata; Mammalia; Rodentia; Sciuridae.